UGCCAUGUAUCGCCUCACCAAUGUGGAA
RNAcentral lists this non-coding RNA (28 nucleotides) under Mus musculus (house mouse). Lineage: Eukaryota; Metazoa; Chordata; Mammalia; Rodentia; Muridae. The record is from RNAcentral.